Molecule: non-coding RNA, 595 nt
Organism: Micropterus dolomieu (smallmouth bass)
Lineage: Eukaryota; Metazoa; Chordata; Actinopteri; Centrarchiformes; Centrarchidae
Source: the annotation of a RefSeq genome assembly
CUGCUGGCCACCCUGGGGCUCCUUGUUCAGGAUUCAUCAGGAGAAAUCAUCCUGACUCAGUCUCCUGGAUCUCAGUCUGUUGUUCCAGGACAGACUGUCUCUCUCAGAUGUAAAGCCAGUUCAAGUGUUAGCAAUGAGGUAGACUGGUACCUUCAGAAACCUGGAGAAGCUCCUAAACUCUUGAUUUAUCAUGCUACAAACCGUCAGUCUGGAGUUUCAGAUCGUUUCAGUGGGAGUCAGUCUGGAACUGACUUCACUUUGACCAUCAGAGGAGUCCAGACUGAAGAUGCAGGAGUUUAUUACUGUCAGCAGGAUUACAGCUUCCCGUUCACACAGUGAUACAACGUCGUACAGAAACCUCUCGCAGCUGGAGAGGAACUGAUCUGAAUCAAAAGCUGCACAGAAACCAUAACACUAGGUCAGGGGUGUCAAACUCAUUUUCACAGAGGGCCGCAUAAGCAAUACGGUCACCCUCAAAGGGCCAGUUGCAACUGUAAGACUGCAUAAACGUAACUAAUCCUUAACAUAUUGUUAAACAAUUGUCUCUUUAUUUCAUUAUGUAUUCAAGUUAAGGACAUUUAUCAGAUGUAAAAAU